GACGAACGCUGGCGGCGUGCUUAACACAUGCAAGUCGAACGGAAAGGCCCUGCUUUUGUGGGGUGCUCGAGUGGCGAACGGGUGAGUAACACGUGAGUAACCUGCCCUUGACUUUGGGAUAACUUCAGGAAACUGGGGCUAAUACCGGAUAGGAGCUCCUGCUGCAUGGUGGGGGUUGGAAAGUUUCGGCGGUUGGGGAUGGACUGGCGGCUUAUCAGCUUGUUGGUUGGGUAGUGGCUUACCAAGGCUUUGACGGGUAGCCGGCCUGAGAGGGUGACCGGCCACAUUGGGACUGAGAUGCGGCCCAGACUCGUACGGGAGGCAGCAGUGGGGAAUAUUGCACAAUGGGCGGAAGCCUGAUGCAGCAACGCCGCGUGCGGGAUGACGGCCUUCGGGUUGUAAACCGCUUUCGCCUGUGACGAAGCGUGAGUGACGGUAAUGGGUAAAGAAGCACCGGCUAACUACGUG
Molecule: ribosomal RNA, 468 nt
Filed under: uncultured bacterium
Lineage: Bacteria
Description: partial 16S ribosomal RNA
Rfam family: Bacterial small subunit ribosomal RNA
Source: RNAcentral